Molecule: long non-coding RNA, 708 nt
Organism: Penaeus indicus
Lineage: Eukaryota; Metazoa; Arthropoda; Malacostraca; Decapoda; Penaeidae
Exons: 3
Source: RefSeq, a predicted model, not a curated record
CUGAGAGAUCCUGUGUAUAUGAAUAUGAGGGAGGUGUCAAUUUCAGCAUUCUAGAUUUCACCAGCCAUUUACCAGCAGGACUGCAAGAAUCUUCUGCGAGUGGCUCAAGACUUAGCCCACCAAGGGUUAGUCGACUCUCACUAAAGAAUAGAUCAAAAAAGGAUUAAAGACGGGAUACAGCUGCAUAUUGGAUGAAAGGAGUUACGUUUAUUUUCUCAUUUUCCCUGUUGUGUUUUAUUAUUAUUUCUUCAUCAUUAUCAUCUUUUUACCUCUCCUUAAGGAAAAGCAUAAUGUGCCGUAUUGAUUUUUUUAGAUAUUAAUUCAUGAGGCACUUGAUCUGCCCUAGAGUUUUGCAUAAUUUCAUUCUACUGUAGAUUUGUUUUAAUUUUCACUCUUAAAGGAAAAGUUUUUGUUUGAGAGGAAUUCAUUCUUUUAACCCAAUGUUGGUAACAUGUAAUAUUCACUGUAGUUUUGUUUUGUGAACUGUUGACACAUAGAUGGCUCCACAAGUGCUCAGCCACCAAAGAGUUGAUUAGCCAUCUACAAGUCCUCACCUGAGAUACCUUUUUGUGUUUUGUGUAUUUUUUAUUUAUUUUUUUUCCACUUGAUAUCAGUGGUAUUAUUGUUAUUAGCAUUAUGGUUAUUAUAAUAUUAUUAAUGAAACUUAUUUUAAUAUAAGAUAGGAAAUAAUAUUUCUGAAAAUCAAAG